GACGAACGCUGGCGGCGUGCCUAAUACAUGCAAGUUGAGCGAUGAAGAUUGGUGCUUGCACCAAUUUGAAGAGCAGCGAACGGGUGAUUAACGCGUGGGGAAUCUGCCUUUGAGCGGGGGACAACAUUUGGAAACGAAUGCUAAUACCGCAUAACAACUUUAAACAUAAGUUUUAAGUUUGAAAGAUGCAAUUGCAUCACUCAAAGAUGAUCCCGCGUUGUAUUAGCUAGUUGGUGAGGUAAAGGCUCACCAAGGCGAUGAUACAUAGCCGACCUGAGAGGGGGCUAGGCCAACCUGGGCACGAGAAAAGGCCCAAAACCCUAAGGGGGGCAGACGUACGGAAUUCUUGGCAAAGGGAGCAAGGUUGAACGAGGAACGCCGGGCGAGUGCAGAAGGUUUUUGGGUCGGAAAACUCUGUUGGUAGAGAAGAACGUUGGUGAGAGUGGAAAGCUCAUCAAGUGACGGUAACUACACAGAAAGGGACGGCUAACUACGUG
Molecule: ribosomal RNA, 497 nt
Filed under: uncultured bacterium
Lineage: Bacteria
Description: partial 16S ribosomal RNA
Rfam family: Bacterial small subunit ribosomal RNA
Source: RNAcentral